Molecule: long non-coding RNA, 582 nt
Organism: Lagopus muta (rock ptarmigan)
Lineage: Eukaryota; Metazoa; Chordata; Aves; Galliformes; Phasianidae
Exons: 3
Source: RefSeq, a predicted model, not a curated record
ACAGAAGGAUGGGUGAGCCUCAUUCAUACAAAUGACUAAAAAAGAAUGUAGACUGAACCACCAUCUCACAGGACCUGCAUGGCACCCGAGGGCUCACAGCUGAAAUGGUUGUAAGUUCAAUAAAACAAGAUUCUGCAAUCAAAUAUCAAUACAAAUGAAUAUUAAAACAAAGGAAAGCAAGUUUCUUACUAUUUCUGAAUCUUCUGUCAGCUAGCAAAUUUGUUUGAGGUUGGUCUUUAGAUUCAACAGUCAUCAAGGAAGACUGAUAGAAAUAUUGGUGAACAAAUGGUAAGAUCACUUAAUUUCUUAUUUUCUUGGAAGAUAAAGAAAAAAAACCCCAAACUAACAACAACAGAAGAGAAACCUUACAGAAAUCCUCCAAUUACAACCCCUUUCAGGUUUCUCAUCCCAAACUUGCAAUGUUUCAUCUUCAUCUCAGAGUGGAAGUCUAUACAGGUUAUGUAUUACAGUGGCAUCCUUGAAGAAGAUGAAUCGUGAGGCAACAUUGAGGGCUUCUAUGAUUUCCGUACUGAGAACACAUGAUGCAGUGACUGACACAGCAACAACUUUUGGAAUUCCACG